GGUUUCCUUUUCUACAUUUGACUUGAUGCUCUCGGUUCUGGAGUCAAUGUUGAGGACUCCCAGGGCAACUCACUUCUGACUGUAUACCACAGUGCUGGGUCUGUCCAGUGGAACAAGACAUUUUCAGAGAUAGUGAAGGGAGUGUGUGGGACACAGCCAUUUUCAUGGAAUCAUAAUUUGCAGGCAAUGUCAGCCUGGUGCUUGAUUAGUUUAUGGGACAGUCUGUCCAAUUUUGGAACAAGCCCAAGGUAUUAUUGAGGGCUUUGCAAGGUCGACAGAGCUGCGUUUGCUGUUGCUGUUUCUGUUGCCUUGGUUGAUGCUGGGUGGUCUGUUUGAUUUCAUUUAUUUUAUCAGACUUUGUAGCGGUUAGCUACAACAGCAUCGCCUUGCUAGGCCAUUUCAGAGUCCAACCAUAUUUAUAGCUUUACAGCCCUACUGUCUCUAUAAUUUUGACUGUGACAGCUCUACGUUUGCAAUCUUAUUUCAGAAUGAACCACCUAGUUCUGUUAAACUUGGCCUUUCUGAUAAGUACAUCAUGAGAAUCUCUUGUUUUUAUUCUGUUUCUAAUAAUAGCCAAGUUCAGUAAUUUUAUCCUGCAUGGUGCACAAGCUGGGAAUGCAGAUACGUCUGGGAUUGUGGCUAGUUUGGAUUGUCCUGCUGUGAGCUGAACAUGAUCUUGUCAAGUCAACAUAAAUCAGACUGUGGCCAGUCUGUCCAAAUUGGGAGCAAGAAACUGGAGACCUCAUUACGCUGUCUCUCUGCUAAGUGAAGAUUGCAGAAGAAAGAAUGUGAGAGAUGCAAGAGAUCAAGAAAUGAAGAACACCUUGUUAGCUUCUCUGUCUCCUAGAUAAAAGAUUGGGAGCAAAAUUGUUUUCCCAAGAUGAAUACUUCAAAUAAUGUUGGAUUUUCUCAAGCAGUUCUGCUGUACAAAUUAGAGUGAAAGUCAUUGCAACAGGAAGCUUCAUGACACAGCUCUCUGCGAGUAGGGCUCUGGUGUCCAAGACAGAAACGUCAGAAAAAUAUCAUUGUGGCUGCAAGUGUCAUAGUUAAUCAGGAUUGUCAAUGGACAAGUGCUCGCCUCAAGCUUCAACACCAGACACUGUAACCUGCGUUUCUUGAUAACCAGGCUCUAUAACCAGGUGUCUUUUGAAGGUGUCGAUUUCUUGCUAGGGUUUCAAAGGUCCUUGUCAUCCUUUGGCGCACUUUCCCAAAUGACCGUUGUUAAUGUGUGAAUCUCGACAGUGAGUGAUGGCAAGCCAUUCACAUUCAGGAGCACCACAGCUGAGCCUGACCUUUCCCUCAUCUGAUGCUCAUGCACAUACACCCAGCCCGAGAGUUCAUCGGCAAUUCAUUCUGAGGGGGAGCACAUACUACUGUCCUGGCUGACUUUAGGUAAUGCAUCCAGGGAUCAAACCAGGCAUCUUUCUGGUCCCUACGGGCUAGUCUUGACUGGAGGGCACAUCCGUCCACUGAAAAUGAGGGAGCUGCAAGUAACCAUUUUGUUCUUAAAUUCAAAAGGCAAAGUGUAGUUGUGAUAUUGUAACAAUGUUGCAUAAAAAUAGACGGACAGUUGCCUAAUACAUUUCUUUCACACACGCGGUAUUUUCGCAAUAAAGCUUU
Non-coding RNA from Chiloscyllium plagiosum (whitespotted bambooshark), 1620 nucleotides. Lineage: Eukaryota; Metazoa; Chordata; Chondrichthyes; Orectolobiformes; Hemiscylliidae. The record is from RefSeq and is a predicted model, not a curated record.